RNAcentral lists this ribosomal RNA (766 nucleotides) under Acinetobacter soli. Its description in RNAcentral is "bacterial SSU rRNA". It matches the Rfam family "Bacterial small subunit ribosomal RNA", at positions 63 to 821 of the family's 1533-position model. The record is from RNAcentral. Lineage: Bacteria; Pseudomonadati; Pseudomonadota; Gammaproteobacteria; Moraxellales; Moraxellaceae.
CGAGCGGAGUGAUGGUGCUUGCACUAUCACUUAGCGGCGGACGGGUGAGUAAUGCUUAGGAAUCUGCCUAUUAGUGGGGGACAACAUCUCGAAAGGGAUGCUAAUACCGCAUACGUCCUACGGGAGAAAGCAGGGGAUCACUUGUGACCUUGCGCUAAUAGAUGAGCCUAAGUCGGAUUAGCUAGUUGGUGGGGUAAAGGCCUACCAAGGCGACGAUCUGUAGCGGGUCUGAGAGGAUGAUCCGCCACACUGGGACUGAGACACGGCCCAGACUCCUACGGGAGGCAGCAGUGGGGAAUAUUGGACAAUGGGGGGAACCCUGAUCCAGCCAUGCCGCGUGUGUGAAGAAGGCCUUAUGGUUGUAAAGCACUUUAAGCGAGGAGGAGGCUCUUUUGGUUAAUACCCAGGAUGAGUGGACGUUACUCGCAGAAUAAGCACCGGCUAACUCUGUGCCAGCAGCCGCGGUAAUACAGAGGGUGCAAGCGUUAAUCGGAUUUACUGGGCGUAAAGCGCGCGUAGGCGGCCAAUUAAGUCAAAUGUGAAAUCCCCGAGCUUAACUUGGGAAUUGCAUUCGAUACUGGUUGGCUAGAGUGUGGGAGAGGAUGGUAGAAUUCCAGGUGUAGCGGUGAAAUGCGUAGAGAUCUGGAGGAAUACCGAUGGCGAAGGCAGCCAUCUGGCCUAACACUGACGCUGAGGUGCGAAAGCAUGGGGAGCAAACAGGAUUAGAUACCCUGGUAGUCCAUGCCGUAAACGAUGUCUACUAGCC